Molecule: ribosomal RNA, 473 nt
Filed under: uncultured bacterium
Lineage: Bacteria
Description: bacterial SSU rRNA
Rfam family: Bacterial small subunit ribosomal RNA
Source: RNAcentral
UGGGGAAUCUUGGUCAAUGGGCGCAAGCCUGAACCAGCGACGCCGCGUGAGUGAUGAAGGCCUUCGGGUUGUAAAGCUCUGUGGGGAGAGACGAAAACGUCAGGCGCGAAUAGCUCCUGGCCUUGACGGUACCUCCUUAGCAAGCACCGGCUAACUCUGUGCCAGCAGCCGCGGUAAUACAGAGGGUGCAAACGUUGCUCGGAAUUACUGGGCGUAAAGCGCGUGUAGGCGGACCGAUGUGUCAGGUGUGAAAUCCCCGGGCUCAACCCGGGAACUGCAUUUGAAACUGUCGGCCUUGAGUACCGGAGAGGGUGGCGGAAUUCCUGGUGUAGAGGUGAAAUUCGUAGAUAUCAGGAGGAACACCGGUGGCGAAGGCGGCCACCUGGACGGUUACUGACGCUGAGACGCGAAAGCGUGGGGAGCAAACAGGAUUAGAUACCCUUGUAGUCCCUGAGCGGGCUGGCAAGGCGCAU